Molecule: transfer RNA, 73 nt
Organism: Exophiala dermatitidis
Lineage: Eukaryota; Fungi; Ascomycota; Eurotiomycetes; Chaetothyriales; Herpotrichiellaceae
Rfam family: tRNA
About the family: Transfer RNA (tRNA) molecules are approximately 80 nucleotides in length. Their secondary structure includes four short double-helical elements and three loops (D, anti-codon, and T loops).
Source: Rfam
AGCGGUGUGGCGCAGGGGAAGCGCGCCGGGCUCAUAACCCGGAGGACAUCGGAUCGAAGUCAGUAUACCUCCA